This 203-nucleotide ribosomal RNA is filed under the name uncultured bacterium. Its description in RNAcentral is "partial 16S ribosomal RNA". It matches the Rfam family "Bacterial small subunit ribosomal RNA", at positions 123 to 334 of the family's 1533-position model. The record is from RNAcentral.
AAUCUGCCCAGAGGUGGGGAAUAACUCUCUGAAAGGAGAGCUAAUACCGCAUAUGCUUUGAGAGAAGCAAAGCUUCGCAAGAGGUGCCUUUGGAGGAGCCUGCGGCUGAUUAGCUAGUUGGUGGGGUAAAAGCCUACCAAGGCGAUGAUCAGUAGCUGGUCUGAGAGGAUGGACAGCCACACUGGGACUGAGAUACGGCCCAG